Molecule: transfer RNA, 68 nt
Filed under: Marmota monax (woodchuck)
Lineage: Eukaryota; Metazoa; Chordata; Mammalia; Rodentia; Sciuridae
Description: tRNA.Ala
Source: RNAcentral
GGAAUGUAGCUCAGUGGUAGAGUGUUUGCCUAGCAUGUACAAGGCCCUGAGUUCAAACCCUGCCACCA